GCACUUCGCUAGGGGUGUUGUACCGCGCAAGCGGUGCGACUGAGACAGUCCCUUUGAACCUGAUUGAGGUAAUCCUCGCGCAGGGAAGCAGCCUGAUUCGGCC
This 103-nucleotide non-coding RNA is filed under the name Burkholderiales bacterium. Its description in RNAcentral is "TPP sequence". It matches the Rfam family "TPP riboswitch aptamer (THI element)". From Rfam's summary of the family: Vitamin B(1) in its active form thiamin pyrophosphate (TPP) is an essential coenzyme that is synthesised by coupling of pyrimidine and thiazole moieties in bacteria. The previously detected thiamin-regulatory element, thi box was extended, resulting in a new, highly conserved RNA secondary structure, the THI element, which is widely distributed in eubacteria and also occurs in some archaea. Lineage: Bacteria; Pseudomonadati; Pseudomonadota; Betaproteobacteria; Burkholderiales. The record is from RNAcentral.